This 453-nucleotide ribosomal RNA is filed under the name uncultured bacterium. RNAcentral describes it as "bacterial SSU rRNA". It matches the Rfam family "Bacterial small subunit ribosomal RNA", at positions 340 to 786 of the family's 1533-position model. The record is from RNAcentral.
UACGGAAGGCAGCAGUGGGGAAUAUUGCACAAUGGGCGCAAGCCUGAUGCAGCCAUGCCGCGUGUAUGAAGAAGGCCUUCGGGUUGUAAAGUACUUUCAGUCGUGAGGAAGGUGUUAAGGUUAAUAACCUUAGCAAUUGACGUUAGCGACAGAAGAAGCACCGGCUAACUCCGUGCCAGCAGCCGCGGUAAUACGGAGGGUGCGAGCGUUAAUCGGAAUUACUGGGCGUAAAGGGCACGCAGGCGGUUAAUUAAGUUGGAUGUGAAAUCCCCGGGCUUAACCUGGGAAUGGCAUUCAAGACUGGUUAGCUAGAGUCUUGUAGAGGGGGUAGAAUUCCAUGUGUAGCGGUGAAAUGCGUAGAGAUGUGGAGGAAUACCGGUGGCGAAGGCGGCCCCUGGGCAAAGGCUGACGCUCAUGUGCGAAAGCGUGGGGAGCAAACGAGGAUUAGAUACC